CGUUUGUUGAGAUUAAUUAAGUUUAGUCCAAUAAACAAAUGCAAACAAGUUUUUAAUUAGCAUAUUACAAGUUGUUCAUCAAGCAUGCUGGCUUGUUUAUAUCCCUAAAUUGUCAAGAAAAUGAAAUUGCUUACAUAAAAGCUUCACGAGGAAUAUCUUUGCCUUUGGUGUUACAAAACACGGCAAUAGCAGAAGAAUUUGGUAAGAAAAUGAAUAUUAGGGAAGUACACACAGAAGCUAUAGCACAUUGGACAUAAUGAUGUUCAUAUUCAACCACCGUGCACUCUCAGUCUUGGCGCUGAGAAGACAUUAGAUCAAGUGCCCCAUCCAUGUACCCAGCUGCAUGAGCAUGACCGUGAUGGUGAUCAUGGCCACCAUGAC
Molecule: unclassified non-coding RNA, 381 nt
Filed under: Hevea brasiliensis (rubber tree)
Lineage: Eukaryota; Viridiplantae; Streptophyta; Magnoliopsida; Malpighiales; Euphorbiaceae
Source: RNAcentral